UACGGGGGGGGUAAGCGUUGUUCGGAAUUACUGGGCGUAAAGGGCUCGUAGGCGGCCAACUAAGUCAGACGUGAAAUCCCUCAGCUUAACUGGGGAACUGCGUCUGAUACUGGAUGGCUUGGAUUCGGGAGAGGAAUGCGGAAUUCCAGGUGUAGCGGUGAAAUGCGCAGAUAUCAGGAGGAACACCGGUGGCGAAGGCGGUUCUCUGGGCAUGUCCUGACGCUGAGGAGCGAAAGUGUGGGGAGCGAACAGG
Molecule: ribosomal RNA, 253 nt
Filed under: uncultured bacterium
Lineage: Bacteria
Description: partial 16S ribosomal RNA
Rfam family: Bacterial small subunit ribosomal RNA
Source: RNAcentral